RNA transcript from Zea mays, 624 nucleotides. It is a transcript of the gene named ubiquinol-cytochrome c reductase complex 7.8 kDa protein, with no coding region annotated. Lineage: Eukaryota; Viridiplantae; Streptophyta; Magnoliopsida; Poales; Poaceae. The record is from RefSeq and is marked validated. The transcript has 4 exons.
GACUUACCUGAUUGUGAUGCCAAUAUUGCGAAACACCAUAUUUGAAGACUCAAAUAUACAAUUGUCUCGUCCUCGUAACCCUAGACAACCCAUAAGGCCAUACCCUCCAACCGCUGGAUCGGGUAUCGGCAUUACUGGGCGCACGAGACUAGGGAUUUCCCCCUUGCAAUCACGAAUCCAUGGCGGAUGCUGAACCUGUUGAUCAGAAGAAUUACCUUGAGGAACGUUGCAAGCCGCAAUGUGUAAAAACAUUGUAUGAUUAUGAGAAAUGCGUCAAGAGAGUCGAGAGCGACGGAAGUGGGCAGAAGCACUGCACCGGCCAAUAUUUCGACUACUGGUCAUGCGUUGACAAGUGUGUUGCACCAAAGCUCUUCGACAAACUGAAAUGAUAACGGAACGCAACUUUGAAGGCGCGGCUCCUUUCAGGAAGUCAAAUAGCUUUAAUAAACCCAUGCCUUGGCUUCUGGAAUUUGUUUGCUGAACCUGUGGCAGGGAGCCUCAUUUUGAUACGUUUUGCUGAACCGUCUUUGUUUUUUUCCCCUGAAUCUGUGUGGUAUCCCAAGCGUCGAGCCCAAUUUCUUUUGUAUAAGAAUAAUGAGGUGCCCAUAAAAAAUUGGCCCCAAG